AGUAGAGUAGCAGUAGGGGUUAUGGGUAGUUGGUUGUAUGGUAGUAGGGUAGCGGUAGGGGUUAUGGGUAGUUGGUAGUAUGGUAGUAGGGUUGCAGUAGGGGUUAUGGGUAGUUGGUAGUAUGGUAGUAGGACAGCGGUAGGGGUUAUGGGUAGUUGGUUGUAUGGUAGUAGGGUAGCAGUAGGGGUUAUGGGUAGUUUGUAGUAUGGUAGUAAUAGGGGUUAUGGGUAGUUGGUAGUAUGGUAGUAAUAGGGGUUAUGGGUAGUUGGUAGUAUGGUAGUAAUAGGGGUUAUGGGUAGUUGGUAGUAUGGUAGUAGGGUAGCAGUAGGGGUUAUGGGUAGUUGGUUGUAUGGUAGUAGGGUAGCGGUAGGGGUUAUGGGUAGUUGGUUGUAUGGUAGUAGGGUAGCAGUAGGGGUUAUGGGUAGUUGGUAG
Molecule: long non-coding RNA, 432 nt
Organism: Oncorhynchus tshawytscha (Chinook salmon)
Lineage: Eukaryota; Metazoa; Chordata; Actinopteri; Salmoniformes; Salmonidae
Source: Ensembl